GCCGCGGAAGAUGCUGCGUUCGGUGUGGCUGUGGCUGGGUCUGGGCCUGUGCAGCCUCUUGCUGGGGCAGGCGAAGGCCCCAAGCCCAGUGGAGCCGUCGGAGCGGAGCCGGCCGUAUGCGGUGCUGCGCGGACAGAACCUAGUGUUGAUGGGAACCAUUUUCAGCAUCCUGCUGGUGACCGUCAUCCUUAUGGCAUUUUGUGUCUACAAGCCCAUUCGGCGUCGAUAACAGCCAAGCAAGCAAGUUCCGCCACAAGCUUUUGGGAACAGGAUAAGUUGUGUUGCACAUGGGCCAAUGGAGAAGUUGGAAUCAGAACUUUUCUAUUUGGAAAUGACCUUUGGUCAUUUGUUAAAAGCUAAAUGGUUUAGAAAAAAAAUCUACUAGUGAUUUUUUUUCCCCUAACAUCCUAAUGCAAGUAAUUUGGCUGCUGAGCUGCUUCUUGAUGUUUCUUUUUAUGUCUGACUGUACUUGUAAAAGACCUGAUGCUCCAAGGUUCAGGGCAAAGAUGGAGUAUUCACAAGAAAGAAAACAUAGUAACCCUGUACCCAUAAGAACCACACUGGAAAGGACUACCAUUAAUGCUUGAAAUAGUAGUAAGAGGAAGGCUUAACCUGUAGAGACACUGCCUGCACUAGAGCCAUCUGCUCACAGCAGAUUAAGAAUCACAAUUUUCAUUAUACUGAGUUGACUUAGAAUGCCCUGGUUGCAAAGCAGUGUCCACUGUAGGGAACUUGAGCCUGUGACUCUCUACCUGCAUCCAACUCUGUAUGUGGAUGUCCCCCAAUGAAGUCAGGGUCGCAUCAGGUAGGCCUAUUACUGUAUGCACCCUUGGCAUAGAAAGCUCUGGGAUUGAACUGGAAGUGUUUAGGUGGCCCCUCAGGAAAAGAACUCCAUCCUGUUCAGACACAGUGAUCCCUUUGUUUAGUACUUAAGUCUUUCCAGCCCUAAAACUUGUGUUAGCUUUUCAGAUGGGGAACCGAGACUCAGCAGGAACCCUGUUCAGCCCUGGGUAUGGGGGGGCUCAACCAAGAAGUACAUUUCCACUGUGGGCUGCUGUGUGUUUACAUAAAUUCAAUCUCAGUUUUGAAAAUGCUGAGAUUAGUUAGUUUGCACUGCUGGUAAACUGGAUUUUUUACCCCUAUAGAAAUGAUACUUCCACACUUAUAGACUGGUUAUUAGUAUUUAUUUUAAAGGUGCUAGAUUUAAUUUUGUUAUGAAGUUGAAAUGCUUAUCUUGUGCUUUAUUUAGCACAGCACUGAUAUUUUCUUUUCUCAACAACCUGCACUUAAUGUGAAAUAACUGAUGAGGCAUACUGUAACAAUGUGACCUAAGGACUUUGUUUAACCUUGUAACAUUGAGCCAUUGAGAUGUUCUUCGUUCUGUACUUUUGAGCAAACUGUCAAUUAAAAUGAAAGCCAAACCCUA
Molecule: non-coding RNA, 1426 nt
Organism: Marmota flaviventris (yellow-bellied marmot)
Lineage: Eukaryota; Metazoa; Chordata; Mammalia; Rodentia; Sciuridae
Source: RefSeq, a predicted model, not a curated record